This 252-nucleotide ribosomal RNA is filed under the name uncultured prokaryote. RNAcentral describes it as "partial 16S rRNA". It matches the Rfam family "Archaeal small subunit ribosomal RNA", at positions 475 to 726 of the family's 1478-position model. The record is from RNAcentral.
ACCGGCAGCUCAAGUGGUGGCCAUUUUUUUUGGGCCUUAAGCGUUUCGAGCCGGUUUGAUAAGUCCCUGGGGAAAUCCCGCAACUUAACUGGGGGGCUUGGCGGAGAUACUAUUAGACUUGAGGUCGGGAGAGGUUAGGGGUACUCCCAGGGUAGGGGUGAAAUCCUAUAAUCCUGGGAGGACCACCUGUGGCGAAGGCGCCUAACUGGAACGAACCUGACGGUGAGUAACGAAAGCCAGGGGCGCGAACCG